GAGUUUGAUCCUGGCUCAGGAUGAACGCUAGCGGCAGGCCUAAUACAUGCAAGUCGAACGGUUGGUAGCAAUACCAAUAGUGGCGCACGGGUGCGUAACGCGUAACCAACCUACCCGAAUCUGGGGGAUAGCCCGCCGAAAGGCGGAUUAAUACCGCAUAAAACUGCAGCCUGGCAUCAGGUAACAGUUAAAGAUUUAUUGGAUUCGGAUGGGGUUGCGUGCCAUUAGCUAGUUGGCGGGGUAACGGCCCACCAAGGCGACGAUGGCUAGGGGAGCUGAGAGGCUGGUCCCCCACACGGGCACUGAGAUACGGGCCCGACUCCUACGGGAGGCAGCAGUAGGGAAUAUUGGGCAAUGGUCGAGAGACUGACCCAGCCAUGCCGCGUGCAGGAUGAAGGCUUUCUGAGUCGUAAACUGCUUUUACCAGGGAAGAAAAAAGGGGAUGCGUCCUCUACUGACGGUACCUGGUGAAUAAGCACCGGCUAACUCCGUGCCAGCAGCCGCGGUAAUACGGAGGGGUGCAAGCGUUGUCCCGGAUUUAUUGGGUUUAAAGGGGUGCGUAAGCGGCUUGAUUAAGUCUGGGGUGGAAAGCCCCGU
This 597-nucleotide ribosomal RNA is filed under the name uncultured Cytophagales bacterium. RNAcentral's name for it is "bacterial SSU rRNA". It matches the Rfam family "Bacterial small subunit ribosomal RNA", at positions 9 to 607 of the family's 1533-position model. Lineage: Bacteria; Pseudomonadati; Bacteroidota; Sphingobacteriia; Sphingobacteriales. The record is from RNAcentral.